This 465-nucleotide ribosomal RNA is filed under the name Vreelandella stevensii. RNAcentral describes it as "partial 16S ribosomal RNA". It matches the Rfam family "Bacterial small subunit ribosomal RNA", at positions 338 to 795 of the family's 1533-position model. The record is from RNAcentral. Lineage: Bacteria; Pseudomonadati; Pseudomonadota; Gammaproteobacteria; Oceanospirillales; Halomonadaceae.
CCUACGGGAGGCUGCAGUGGGGAAUAUUGGACAAUGGGGGCAACCCUGAUCCAGCCAUGCCGCGUGUGUGAAGAAGGCCCUCGGGUUGUAAAGCACUUUCAGUGAGGAAGAACGCCUGGUGGUUAAUACCCAUCAGGAAAGACAUCACUCACAGAAGAAGCACCGGCUAACUCCGUGCCAGCAGCCGCGGUAAUACGGAGGGUGCGAGCGUUAAUCGGAAUUACUGGGCGUAAAGCGCGCGUAGGUGGCUUGAUAAGCCGGUUGUGAAAGCCCCGGGCUCAACCUGGGAACGACAUCCGGAACUGUCAAGCUAGAGUGCAGGAGAGGAAGGUAGAAUUCCCGGUGUAGCGGUGAAAUGCGUAGAGAUCGGGAGGAAUACCAGUGGCGAAGGCGGCCUUCUGGACUGACACUGACACUGAGGUGCGAAAGCGUGGGUAGCAAACAGGAUUAGAUACCCUUGUAGUC